This 346-nucleotide ribosomal RNA is filed under the name uncultured bacterium. RNAcentral describes it as "partial 16S ribosomal RNA". It matches the Rfam family "Bacterial small subunit ribosomal RNA", at positions 338 to 681 of the family's 1533-position model. The record is from RNAcentral.
CCUACGGGAGGCUGCAGGGAGGAAUAUUGGUCAAUGGACGAGAGUCUGAACCAGCCAAGUAGCGUGAAGGAUGAAGGCCCUAUGGGUUGUAAACUUCGUUUAUAUGGGAAUAAAAUGUGCCACGUGUGGGAUUUUGUAUGUACCAUAUGAAUAAGGAUCGGCUAACUCCGUGCCAGCAGCCGCGGUAAUACGGAGGAUCCGAGCGUUAUCCGGAUUGAUUGGGGUUAAAGGGAGCGUAGGUGGCUUGUUAAGUCAGUUGUGAAAGUUUGCGGCUCCACCGUAAAAUUGCAGUUUAAACGGGCAGUCUUGCGUACAGUAGAGGUGGGCGGAAUUCGUGGUGUCGCGG